GCCAGAUGCAGUGGCACACUCCUGUAGUCCCAGCUACUCGGGAGGCUGAGGCAGGAGGAUCACUUGAGCUCAGGAUUUCUGGGCUAUGGUGUGCUAUGCCAAUCAGGUGUCCUCACUAAGUUUGGCAUCAAUAUGGUGACCUCUUGGGAGGGGGGACCACCAGGUUGCCUAAGGAGGGGUGAACCAGCCCAGGUUGGAAAUGGAGCAGGUAAAACUCCUGUGCUAAUCAGUAGUGGGAUCACGCCCAUGAAUAGCCACUGCACUCCAGCCUGGGCAAUAUAGUAAGACCCCAUCUCU
RNAcentral lists this signal recognition particle RNA (297 nucleotides) under Prolemur simus (greater bamboo lemur). Its description in RNAcentral is "Metazoan signal recognition particle RNA (ENSPSMG00000011125.1)". It matches the Rfam family "Metazoan signal recognition particle RNA". Rfam says of the family: The signal recognition particle (SRP) is a universally conserved ribonucleoprotein. Lineage: Eukaryota; Metazoa; Chordata; Mammalia; Primates; Lemuridae. The record is from RNAcentral.